Ovis aries (sheep) is the source of this 57-nucleotide transfer RNA. It matches the Rfam family "tRNA", at positions 8 to 63 of the family's 71-position model. Rfam says of the family: Transfer RNA (tRNA) molecules are approximately 80 nucleotides in length. Their secondary structure includes four short double-helical elements and three loops (D, anti-codon, and T loops). The record is from Rfam. NCBI's taxonomy places the organism in Eukaryota, Metazoa, Chordata, Mammalia, Artiodactyla, Bovidae.
UGGCUCAGACGGUAAAGCAUCUGCCUACAAUGCGGGAGACCCAGGUUCGAUCCCUGG